Molecule: ribosomal RNA, 503 nt
Filed under: uncultured bacterium
Lineage: Bacteria
Description: bacterial SSU rRNA
Rfam family: Bacterial small subunit ribosomal RNA
Source: RNAcentral
GGCCUACGGGUCAAAGCAGCAAUGCGCCUUUAGAUGAGCCUGCGUCCCAUUAUUUAAUCCUAGUUGGCGGGGUAAUGGCCCACCAAGGGUACGAUGGGUAGCUGGUCUGAGAGGACGAUCAGCCACACUGGGACUGAGACACGGCCCAGACUCCUACGGGAGGCAGCAGUGGGGAAUAUUGCGCAAUGGGCGAAAGCCUGACGCAGCCAACCCGCGUGUGUGAUGAAGGCCUUCGGGUUGUAAAGCACUGUCGUGAGGGAAGAAGUUCUGACGGUACCUCACAAGAAAGCACCGGCUAACCCCGUGCCAGCAGCCGCGGUAAUACGGGGGGUGCAAGCGUUGCUCGGAAUCACUGGGCGUAAAGCGUCCGCAGGCGGGACGGUCAGUCGAAUGUGAAAGCCCGGGGCUCAACCCCGGAACUGCGUUCGAUACUGCCGUCCUCGAGUUCGGGAGAGGGGAGCGGAAUUCCUGGUGUAGAGGUGAAAUUCGUAGAUAUCAGGAGG